Molecule: ribosomal RNA, 453 nt
Filed under: uncultured bacterium
Lineage: Bacteria
Description: bacterial SSU rRNA
Rfam family: Bacterial small subunit ribosomal RNA
Source: RNAcentral
UACGGGAGGCAGCAGUGGGGAAUAUUGCACAAUGGGCGCAAGCCUGAUGCAGCCAUGCCGCGUGUAUGAAGAAGGCCUUCGGGUUGUAAAGUACUUUCAGUCGUGAGGAAGGUGUUAAGGUUAAUAACCUUAGCAAUUGACGUUAGCGACAGAAGAAGCACCGGCUAACUCCGUGCCAGCAGCCGCGGUAAUACGGAGGGUGCGAGCGUUAAUCGGAAUUACUGGGCGUAAAGGGCACGCAGGCGGUUAAUAAGUUGGAUGUGAAUCCCCGGGCUUAACCUGGGAAUGGCAUUCAAGACUGGUUAGCUAGAGUCUUGUAGAGGGGGUAGAAUUCCAUGUGUAGCGGUGAAAUGCGUAGAGAUGUGGAGGAAUACCGGGUGGCGAAGGCGGCCCCUGGGACAAAGACUGACGCUCAUGUGCGAAAGCGUGGGGAGCAAACAGGGAUUAGAUACC